AGAGUUUGAUCCUGGCUCAGGAUGAACGCUGGCGGCGUGCCUAACACAUGCAAGUCGAACGGGGGCCAGCGGCGGAAGGGGAUGGUUUACCAGACCCGGAAGGCGCGGGCCUUAGUGGCGGACGGGUGAGUAACGCGUGGGGAACCUGCCCCGUACCGGGGGAUAACACCUGGAAACAGGUGCUAAUACCGCAUAACAGAAGGGGACGUAUGUUCCUUUCUUGAAAACUCCGGUGGUACGGGAUGGACCCGCGUCUGAUUAGCUGGUUGGCGGGGUAACGGCCCACCAAGGCGACGAUCAGUAGCCGGCCUGAGAGGGCGGACGGCCACAUUGGGACUGAGACACGGCCCAAACUCCUACGGGAGGCAGCAGUGGGGAAUAUUGCACAAUGGGGGAAACCCUGAUGCAGCGACGCCGCGUGAGUGAAGAAGCGUUUCGGCGCGUAAAGCUCUGUCAGCGGGGAAGAAACACGGUUCGCGAGAGCCGCGGACGGUACCCGACCAAGAAGCCCCGGCUAACUACGCGCCAGCAGCCGCGGUAAUACGUAGGGGGCAAGCGUUAUCCGGAUUCACUGGGUGUAAAGGGAGCGUAGACGGCGAGACAAGUCUGGAGUGAAAGGCCGGGGCCCAACCCCGGGACUGCUCUGGAAACUGCCUGGCUGGAGUACAGGAGAGGUAAGUGGAAUUCCUAGUGUAGCGGUGAAAUGCGUAGAUAUUAGGAGGAACACCAGUGGCGAAGGCGGCUUACUGGACUGUAACUGACGUUGAGGCUCGAAAGCGUGGGGAGCAAACAGGAUUAGAUACCCUGGUAGUCCACGCCGUAAACGAUGAUCACUAGGUGUCGGGGGUUAGAAGGCCCCCGGUGCCGCAGCCAACGCAGUAAGUGAUCCACCUGGGGAGUACGUUCGCAAGAAUGAAACUCAAAGGAAUUGACGGGGACCCGCACAAGCGGUGGAGCAUGUGGUUUAAUUCGAUGAUACGCGAGGAACCUUACCCGGGCUCAAACGACGGAUGAAUGUUUUUGAAAGGAGGCAGCCCUUCGGGGCAUCCGUCGAGGUGCUGCAUGGUUGUCGUCAGCUCGUGCCAUGAGGUGUCGGCUUAAGUGCCAUAACGAGCGCAACCCCCAUCGCCAGUUACCAGCAAGUGAAGUUGGGGACUCUGGCGAGACUGCCGGCGCAAGCUGUGAGGAAGGCGGGGAUGACGUCAAAUCAGCACGGCCCUUACGUCCGGGGCGACACACGUGUUACAAUGGCAGGUACAGAGAGACGCCACCUGGCGACAGGGAGCAGAACUCGAAAGCCUGUCUCAGUUCGGAUCGGAGUCUGCAACCCGACUCCGUGAAGCUGGAUUCGCUAGUAAUCGCGCAUCAGCCAUGGCGCGGUGAAUACGUUCCCGGGCCUUGCACACACCGCCCGUCA
Molecule: ribosomal RNA, 1417 nt
Filed under: uncultured bacterium
Lineage: Bacteria
Description: partial 16S ribosomal RNA
Rfam family: Bacterial small subunit ribosomal RNA
Source: RNAcentral